GGGGAUAACUACUGGAAACGGUAGCUAAUACCGCAUAACGUCGCAAGACCAAAGAGGGGGACCUUCAGGCCUCUUGCCAUCGGAUGUGCCCAGAUGGGAUUAGCUUGUUGGUGGGGUAACGGCUCACCAAGGCGACGAUCCCUAGCUGGUCUGAGAGGAUGACCAGCCACACUGGAACUGAGACACGGUCCAGACUCCUACGGGAGGCAGCAGUGGGGAAUAUUGCACAAUGGGCGCAAGCCUGAUGCAGCCAUGCCGCGUGUAUGAAGAAGGCCUUCGGGUUGUAAAGUACUUUCAGCGGGGAGGAAGGGAGUAAAGUUAAUACCUUUGCUCAUUGACGUUACCCGCAGAAGAAGCACCGGCUAACUCCGUGCCAGCAGCCGCGGUAAUACGGAGGGUGCAAGCGUUAAUCGGAAUUACUGGGCGUAAAGCGCACGCAGGCGGUUUGUUAAGUCAGAUGUGAAAUCCCCGGGCUCAACCUGGGAACUGCAUCUGAUACUGGCAAGCUUGAGUCUCGUAGAGGGGGGUAGAAUUCCAGGUGUAGCGGUGAAAUGCGUAGAGAUCUGGAGGAAUACCGGUGGCGAAGGCGGCCCCCUGGACGAAGACUGACGCUCAGGUGCGAAAGCGUGGGGAGCAAACAGGAUUAGAUACCCU
RNAcentral lists this ribosomal RNA (654 nucleotides) under uncultured bacterium. Its description in RNAcentral is "bacterial SSU rRNA". It matches the Rfam family "Bacterial small subunit ribosomal RNA", at positions 139 to 788 of the family's 1533-position model. The record is from RNAcentral.